AGUUAACGCAAUAAGUACCCCGCCUGGGGAGUACGACCGCAAGGUUGAAACUCAAAGGAAUUGACGGGGGCCCGCACAAGCGGUGGAGUAUGUGGUUUAAUUCGACGCAACGCGAAGAACCUUACCAGGUCUUGACAUUGAUGGACAGAACCAGAGAUGGUUCCUCUUCUUCGGAAGCCAGAAAACAGGUGGUGCACGGUUGUCGUCAGCUCGUGUCGUGAGAUGUUGGGUUAAGUCCCGCAACGAGCGCAACCCCUAUCUUAUGUUGCCAGCACUUCGGGUGGGGACUCGUGAGAGACUGCCGCAGACAAUGCGGAGGAAGGCGGGGAUGACGUCAAAUCAUCAUGCCCCUUAUGACCUGGGCUACACACGUACUACAAUGGGAGUUAAUAGACGGAAGCGAGAUCGCGAGAUGGAGCAAACCCGAGAAACACUCUCUCAGUUCGGAUCGUAGGCUGCAACUCGCCUACGUGAAGUCGGAAUCGCUAGUAAUCGCAGGUCAGCAUACUGCGGUGAAUACGUUCCCGGGCCUUGUACACACCGCCCGUCACACCACGAAAGUCGGAAGUGCCCAAAGCC
Molecule: ribosomal RNA, 579 nt
Filed under: uncultured bacterium
Lineage: Bacteria
Description: bacterial SSU rRNA
Rfam family: Bacterial small subunit ribosomal RNA
Source: RNAcentral